UCUAAGUAUAAGCAAUUAUACCGCGAAACUGCGAAUGGCUCAUUAAAUCAGUUAUCGUCUAUUUGAUAGUACCUUACUACUUGGAUAACCGUGGUAAUUCUAGAGCUAAUACAUGCUGAAAACCCCGACUUCGGAAGGGAUGUAUUUAUUAGAUUAAAAGCCAAUGCCCUUCGGGGCUCCCUGGUGAUUCAUAAUAACUGCUCGAAUCGCACGGCCUUGCGCCGGCGAUGGUUCAUUCAAAUUUCUGCCCUAUCAACUUUCGACGGCUGGGUCUUGGCCAGCCGUGGUGACAACGGGUAACGGAGGGUUAGGGCUCGACCCCGGAGAAGGAGCCUGAGAAACGGCUACUACAUCCAAGGAAGGCAGCAGGCGCGCAAAUUACCCAAUCCCGACUCGGGGAGGUAGUGACAAUAAAUACUGAUACAGGGCUCUUUUGGGUCUUGUAAUUGGAAUGAGUACAAUUUAAUUCCCUUAACGAGGAACAAUUGGAGGGCAAGUCUGGUGCCAGCAGCCGCGGUAAUUCCAGCUCCAAUAGCGUAUAUUAAAGUUGUUGCAGUUAAAAAGCUCGUAGUUAAACCUUGGGCCUGGCUGGCCGGUCCGCCUCACCGCGUGCACUGGUCCGGCCGGGCCUUUCCCUCUGGGGAGCCGCAUGCCCUUCACUGGGCGUGUCGGGGAACCAGGACUUUUACUUUGAAAAAAUUAGAGUGUUCAAAGCAGGCUUAUGCUCAAAUACAUUAGCAUGGAAUAAUAGAAUAGGACGCGUGGUUCUAUUUUGUUGGUUUCUAGGACCGCCGUAAUGAUUAAUAGGGACAGUCGGGGGCAUCAGUAUUCAGCUGCGAGAGGUGAAAUUCUUGGACCAGCUGAAGACUAACUACUGCGAAAGCAUUUGCCAAGGAUGUUUUCAUUAAUCAGGAACGAAAGUUAGGGGAUCGAAGACGAUCAGAUACCGUCGUAGUCUUAACCAUAAACUAUGCCGACUAGGGAUCGGGCGGUGUUAUCUUUUGACCCGCUCGGCACCU
Molecule: ribosomal RNA, 1019 nt
Filed under: Dryadomyces montetyi
Lineage: Eukaryota; Fungi; Ascomycota; Sordariomycetes; Ophiostomatales; Ophiostomataceae
Description: SSU rRNA
Rfam family: Eukaryotic small subunit ribosomal RNA
Source: RNAcentral